AGCUCAGUUGGUAGAGCAUGGCUCUUGCAACGCCAGUAUAGUGGGUUCAAUUCCCUU
This 57-nucleotide transfer RNA is filed under the name Salmo salar (Atlantic salmon). It matches the Rfam family "tRNA", at positions 9 to 63 of the family's 71-position model. Rfam says of the family: Transfer RNA (tRNA) molecules are approximately 80 nucleotides in length. Their secondary structure includes four short double-helical elements and three loops (D, anti-codon, and T loops). The record is from Rfam by way of RNAcentral. Lineage: Eukaryota; Metazoa; Chordata; Actinopteri; Salmoniformes; Salmonidae.